UGGGGAAUAUUGGACAAUGGGCGCAAGCCUGAUCCAGCCAUGCCGCGUGAGUGAUGAAGGCCCUAGGGUUGUAAAGCUCUUUCAACGGUGAAGAUAAUGACGGUAACCGUAGAAGAAGCCCCGGCUAACUUCGUGCCAGCAGCCGCGGUAAUACGAAGGGGGCUAGCGUUGUUCGGAAUUACUGGGCGUAAAGCGCGCGUAGGCGGAUUGAUCAGUCAGGGGUGAAAUCCCGGGGCUCAACCCCGGAACUGCCUUUGAUACUGUCAAUCUAGAGAUCGAGAGAGGUGAGUGGAAUUCCGAGUGUAGAGGUGAAAUUCGUAGAUAUUCGGAGGAACACCAGUGGCGAAGGCGGCUCACUGGCUCGAUACUGACGCUGAGGUGCGAAAGCGUGGGGAGCAAACAGGAUUAGAUACCCCCGUAGUCC
RNAcentral lists this ribosomal RNA (424 nucleotides) under uncultured prokaryote. RNAcentral describes it as "bacterial SSU rRNA". It matches the Rfam family "Bacterial small subunit ribosomal RNA", at positions 355 to 796 of the family's 1533-position model. The record is from RNAcentral.